This 447-nucleotide ribosomal RNA is filed under the name uncultured bacterium. Its description in RNAcentral is "bacterial SSU rRNA". It matches the Rfam family "Bacterial small subunit ribosomal RNA", at positions 355 to 825 of the family's 1533-position model. The record is from RNAcentral.
UCGGGAAUCUUGGACAAUGGGCGCAAGCCUGAUCCAGCCAUGCCGCGUGAGUGAAGAAGGCCUUAGGGUUGUAAAACUCUUUCGCCGGAGAAGAUAAUGACGGUAUCCGGAGAAGAAGCCCCGGCUAACUUCGUGCCAGCAGCCGCGGUAAUACGAAGGGGGCUAGCGUUGUUCGGAAUUACUGGGCGUAAAGCGCACGUAGGCGGGUCUGUAAGUAGAGGGUGAAAUCCCAGGGCUCAACCCUGGAACUGCCUUCUAGACUGCAGGCCUGGAGGUCAGGAGAGGCGAGCGGAAUUCCGAGUGUAGAGGUGAAAUUCGUAGAUAUUCGGAGGAACACCAGUGGCGAAGGCGGCUCGCUGGACUGAUACUGACGCUGAGGCGCGAAAGCGUGGGGAGCAAACAGGAUUAGAUACCCUUGUAGUCCCUGAGCGGGCUGGCAAGGCGCAU